AGUGAACGCUGGCGGUAGGCCUAACACAUGCAAGUCGAACGGCAGCACAGUAAGAGCUUGCUCUUACGGGUGGCGAGUGGCGGACGGGUGAGGAAUACCUCGGCAUCUACUUUUUCGUGGGGGAUAACGAAGGGAGAUUUACGCUAAUACCGCAUACGACCUACGGGUGAAAGCAGGGGAUCUUCGGCCCUUGCGCGAUUGAAUGAGCCGAUGGCGGAUUAACUAGUUGGCGGGGUAAAGGCCCACCAAGGCGACGAUCCGUAGCUGGUCUGAGAGGAGGAUGAGCGACAGUGAAAGUGAGACACGAUCCAGGCUCCGACGGGAGGCAGAGGUGGGGAAUAGUGGACGAUGUGCGCAAGCCUGAACCAGCCAUGCCGCGUGGGUGAAGAAGGCCUGCGGGUUGUAAAGCCCUUUUGUUGGGAAAGAAAAGCAGCAGGUUAAUACCCCGCUGUUCUGACGGUACCCAAAGAAUAAGCACCGGCUAACUUCGU
Molecule: ribosomal RNA, 491 nt
Filed under: uncultured bacterium
Lineage: Bacteria
Description: partial 16S ribosomal RNA
Rfam family: Bacterial small subunit ribosomal RNA
Source: RNAcentral